GGCCCGAUAGCUCAGUCGGUAGAGCAAGGGAUUGAAAAUCCCUGUGUCCCUGGUUCGAUUCCAGGUCGGGCCACCA
Molecule: transfer RNA, 76 nt
Filed under: Gammaproteobacteria bacterium
Lineage: Bacteria; Pseudomonadati; Pseudomonadota; Gammaproteobacteria
Also listed under: 3 other names
Description: tRNA-Phe
Rfam family: tRNA
About the family: Transfer RNA (tRNA) molecules are approximately 80 nucleotides in length. Their secondary structure includes four short double-helical elements and three loops (D, anti-codon, and T loops).
Source: RNAcentral